AACGCGAAGAACCUUACCUGGGCUUGACAUGCAGAGGAAACUUUGGUGAAAGCCAGAGCCUCCCGCAAGGGACUUCUGCGCAGGUGCUGCAUGGCUGUCGUCAGCUCGUGCCGUGAGGUGUUUGGUUAAGUCCAGCAACGAGCGCAACCCUUAUCAUUAGUUGCCAACACGUAAGGUGGGGACUCUAAUGAGACUGCCUAGGUUAACUAGGAGGAAGGCGAGGAUGACGUCAAGUCCGCAUGGCCUUUAUGUCCAGGGCUACACACGUGCUACAAUGGUCGGUACAGAGGGCUGCAAGACCGUAAGGUGGAGCAAAUCCCAGAAAGCCGAUCUCAGUUCAGAUUGUGGACUGCAACUCGUCCACAUGAAGUCGGAAUUGCUAGUAAUGGCGCGUCAGCAACAGCGCCGUGAAUACGUUCCCGGGCCUUGUACACACCGACAUA
Molecule: ribosomal RNA, 443 nt
Filed under: uncultured bacterium
Lineage: Bacteria
Description: bacterial SSU rRNA
Rfam family: Bacterial small subunit ribosomal RNA
Source: RNAcentral